GAAAGGAUUAAUGUCAUCUACACCUCUUCAUCACCGAUUACAGAUUGAAUUCCACUACACUCAGUUCUUUCAGCCACCCAAUGAGGAGGUUUCCCCGGCAGGAGUGACAAUGGCCCCGCCACAAUUUGUCGAGGUUCCUUUAACGGAUGUUUUUGCAUAGAGAGUUUUACUGUAAAUUGUAGAGAGUGUGAUUACUUUAACUAGUUUUUUUUUUUUUAUUUUAGCUUUUGGGUAUGUUUGUAAUCGAACUGGGGUAAAGGGGAACCUGUUUGAGAUUGGGAAAGCAUGUUUUUUUUGAUUUGGGUUGGAAAAGGAAACAAUUUUUUUUUCAAAGUGGAAAUGGUUUUUUUUUUUUUUUUUUUUUUUUUUUUUUUUUUUUUCUAUAUAAACUUUCGGUCAUAUGUUCCUAAUUUCUAUAGAGCUGUAAUUUCUUUCUUCAAGUAUCAAAGGCGUCUGAUUCCCAAUUUUUACACGCUCUUAUUAAUCCAACUUCCAUUUCACAGACACUAAAAAACUUAGUGUAGGGGAAACUGAGGUUACGCCAUUCUAAUUCUAACGAGUCUUCUCUAAUUAAACUCUCAAAUUGUGAUUUUAAUAGGCAUGAGGUCACAGUUAUUCUGAAAUCAAUUGGCAAUGACAGUCCCAAGGAAAUCGCAGAAUGAUGUCAAGAAAGGAUUAAUGUCAUCGACACCUCUUCAUCACCAAUUACAAAUUGAAUUCCACUUCCCUCAGUUCUUCCAUGCACCCAAUGAGGAGGUUUCCGCGGCAGGAGUGACAACAGCCACGCCACAAGCAGUCAAGGGGAAAUUAAUGGAGGUUUCUGCUUGGAGAGUUUACUGUAAACUGUACUCUUAACUAGUUUUUCUUCUUUCAUUUUAGCUUUCAGGUAUGUUUGUAAUCGAAUCAGGGGUAAAGGGAAAUUAAAAUUUCGUCUGAGCUUGGGAUAAAGGUGAAAAAGUUUUUACCCACAAGGAUUAUUCAAGCGACAAGCAUUAUUUCACUUGGCAACGAAAGGUGCUUCUCAUCUUCACAAUGUCGGACUCUUGAAGCAGUAACUUGAAAGUAAAAUUUUGUUUUACAGGAAGAAAUUUUAGUUUCCCAAAAGAUUCUCCUUUUUUGUCGAGUUGAAAAGAAUGAGCUUUACAGAGAGUUGCAGAGAAUGAUAGGUUUGAAUGGAGAUAAUCAUUGAGAAAUUGGCUUUCCUGUUUUGCUGCAAAGCUGUGAAGAGAACUUUCCAAGGCCUAAAAACUUUGUGAAUCGUGACCUACGUUAGGCCACCUUUGGUUGGUAAAUAUAUAAAAAAAUUCUAUAUUUGUGAUUUAUAAUUAGUAUUAAACUCUAA
RNAcentral lists this long non-coding RNA (1342 nucleotides) under Carica papaya (papaya). RNAcentral's name for it is "long non-coding RNA (CPAP_LNC006683)". The record is from RNAcentral. Lineage: Eukaryota; Viridiplantae; Streptophyta; Magnoliopsida; Brassicales; Caricaceae.